AUACGUAGGUGGCAAGCGUUGUCCGGAUUUAUUGGGCGUAAAGCGAGCGCAGGUCGGUUUUUUAAGUCUGAUGUGAAAGCCUUCGGCUCAACCGAAGAAAUGCAUCGGAAACUGGGAAACUUGAGUGCAGAAGAGGACAGUGAAACUCCAUGUGUAGCGGUGAAAUGCGUAGAUAUAUGGAAGAACACCAGUGGCGAAGGCGGCUGUCUGGUCUGUAACUGACGCUGAGGCUCGAAAGUAUGGGUAGC
Molecule: ribosomal RNA, 248 nt
Filed under: uncultured bacterium
Lineage: Bacteria
Description: partial 16S ribosomal RNA
Rfam family: Bacterial small subunit ribosomal RNA
Source: RNAcentral